GGUCCCCUAGCUUAGCCUGGUUGGAGCGCCCGGCUGAUAACCGGGAGGUCUUGAGUUCGAAUCUCAAGGGGACCA
RNAcentral lists this transfer RNA (75 nucleotides) under Candidatus Methanoprimaticola hominis. RNAcentral's name for it is "Methanomassiliicoccales archaeon Mx-06 tRNA-Ile". It matches the Rfam family "tRNA". Rfam says of the family: Transfer RNA (tRNA) molecules are approximately 80 nucleotides in length. Their secondary structure includes four short double-helical elements and three loops (D, anti-codon, and T loops). RNAcentral also lists the same sequence under 2 other names. The record is from RNAcentral. Lineage: Archaea; Methanobacteriati; Thermoplasmatota; Thermoplasmata; Methanomassiliicoccales; Methanomethylophilaceae.